Molecule: ribosomal RNA, 382 nt
Filed under: uncultured eukaryote
Lineage: Eukaryota
Description: partial 18S ribosomal RNA
Rfam family: Eukaryotic small subunit ribosomal RNA
Source: RNAcentral
UGUAGGCGUAUACCAAAGUUGUUGCAGUUAAAACGCUCGUAGUCGGAAUUUGGCAGUUCCGGAUGUGUGCACGUCGUGUGCGCACUUCGCGGGGAUUGCUUUUGUGGUCUUGCGUAGGAUGAGGCACUUUUAUUAGUGAACGUCCUCACGCAACCACUUUUUACUGUGAGAAAAUCAGAGUGCUCAAAGCAGGCAUUUGCCGUGAAUGUAUUAGCAUGGAAUAAUAGAAUAGGACUCGGUUCUAUUUUGUUGGUUUGUUGGGACUGAGUAAUGAUUAAGAGGGACAGUUGGGGGCAUUUGUAUUUCGGCGCUAGAGGUGAAAUUCUUAGAUUGCCGAAAGACAAACUGCUGCGAAAGCGUCUGCCAAGGAUGUUUUCAUUGA